RNAcentral lists this ribosomal RNA (436 nucleotides) under uncultured Anaerobacterium sp. RNAcentral's name for it is "partial 16S ribosomal RNA". It matches the Rfam family "Bacterial small subunit ribosomal RNA", at positions 341 to 792 of the family's 1533-position model. The record is from RNAcentral. Lineage: Bacteria; Bacillati; Bacillota; Clostridia; Eubacteriales; Oscillospiraceae.
ACGGAAGGCAGCAGUCGGGAAUAUUGCGCAAUGGAGGAAACUCUGACGCAGUGACGCCGCGUGCAGGAAGAAGGUUUUCGGAUUGUAAACUGCUUUAGACAGGGAAGAACAAAGACAGUACCUGUAGAAUAAGCUCCGGCUAAUUACGUGCCAGCAGCCGCGGUAAUACGUAGGGAGCGAGCGUUAUCCGGAAUUAUUGGGUGGAAAGGGUGCGUAGACGGGAAAUUAAGUUAGUUGUGAAAUCCCUCGGCUCAACUGAGGAACUACAACUAAAACUGAUUUUCUUGAGUACUGGAGAGGAAAGUGGAAUUUCUAGUGUAGCGGUAAAAUGCGUAGAUAUUAGGAGGAACACCAGUGGCGAAGGGGACUUUCUGGACAGCAACUGACGUUGAGGCACGAAAGUGUGGGGAGCAAACAGGAUUAGAUUACCCUGGUA